RNAcentral lists this long non-coding RNA (219 nucleotides) under Mytilus galloprovincialis (Mediterranean mussel). The record is from RNAcentral. Lineage: Eukaryota; Metazoa; Mollusca; Bivalvia; Mytilida; Mytilidae.
UGCGUUUAUUGAUAACCCAAUCGAUAAACGAAACUGCUUUUUGUAACAACUUUGUAAAAGUUUAUUGACGAUUUGUAAUAAUUAUCAUGUGUUAGCAGCAAAAAUACCUUCAAAUCCUGACAUGAGAAAUUAGCUAAAAGGAACUCCUAUCUUAUGCACAGACCUAACAAAAUAGCAGACUAAUUGUUUCUUGGCAUACUUAUGUGCACAUUGUCAUUC